Long non-coding RNA from Rhipicephalus sanguineus (brown dog tick), 354 nucleotides. RefSeq lists it as uncharacterized. Lineage: Eukaryota; Metazoa; Arthropoda; Arachnida; Ixodida; Ixodidae. The record is from RefSeq and is a predicted model, not a curated record. The transcript is spliced from 3 exons.
GAAUGGUCGGUGGCCCUAUGCAUCCACAAUAACCAAGUUCCGCAAGCGUCAGUCUCCGCGGGUGUCGCGCCAAAAUAAACCGUCAUGUGCUUACGCGCCCUGAUUUUGCUGUUUCUGCUUGCAUCCGCAGUGCUGCGGACGGACGCUCAGGUGAUACCUGCAAGGGGGUACGAGCCUGCUCGUCCAUUGAAUGCGUACCCUCGGACGAGAGAGUAUCCUGUCGCAGUCGUGGAAGUGGAAACCGUGAGAGGGAUUCGCUGUGGGAACAUAGUCUGCCCAGUCAAUAGGCGAUGCGUGCAGCCCCAAAUCGGAUGCGUCCGCGAAGUUUGCAUCUCCUUACCGACGUGUGAGUAG